GCCGAUGUGGUGGAAUAGGUAGACACAACAGACUUAAAAUCUGUUGAGCUUUUAGCUCGUACCGGUUCAAGUCCGGUCAUCGGUACUA
RNAcentral lists this transfer RNA (88 nucleotides) under Algoriphagus sp. Its description in RNAcentral is "tRNA-Leu". It matches the Rfam family "tRNA". From Rfam's summary of the family: Transfer RNA (tRNA) molecules are approximately 80 nucleotides in length. Their secondary structure includes four short double-helical elements and three loops (D, anti-codon, and T loops). The record is from RNAcentral. Lineage: Bacteria; Pseudomonadati; Bacteroidota; Cytophagia; Cytophagales; Cyclobacteriaceae.